This is a long non-coding RNA of Neodiprion virginianus, 1834 nucleotides long. RefSeq lists it as uncharacterized. Lineage: Eukaryota; Metazoa; Arthropoda; Insecta; Hymenoptera; Diprionidae. The transcript is spliced from 3 exons. The record is from RefSeq and is a predicted model, not a curated record.
AUGUAUUUUGGAUCCUUUGUCAUAUCAAGAAUUGAAGAAAUCGGUAUGGCCCAAUUUAACGCUGGAGCCAAAAAGUGUGUGCUGCAACGUAAACGAGUGAAUUUAAUCCCAUUGCUCCGUCAUUCGUGCGUCAAUAACAGAAUCGUGAACCAAGAGCAGUUAUAUCUCGUGAUGUGACAUCAACACUGACAGUAAAUCAACCACACUGUCGCUAUACUUAUUCACUACGAUUGUCUGGGAAGCGGAGAUCUUCUUAUUUUUCCUCUUCUGACGACUGUCCCCGUACGUAAUAAAUGCAUGGGUUAUUAUUUCGCGCGUGUAAUAUUGAUGGCGUCAUGAAUGUUGCAUGGGGGUACGAGGCGUCCCAAGGAGAUGGAAAGGAGAGCAGCGGGGGAGGUGGUGAGGGUAGCAAGACGAACACGGGGCUUCGAGGAUGCCUGCGGGUGCCUGGGGGUGCAUGCGCGAAAGCUGCUCUCUGUUAUUGAUCCAGCGAGCCUUUCCACUGUUGUGGACCCCGCUCAGAAUUCAGGGCCGUGCCAAUGGACUCGAGGAAAUACAGAACUUUUCUCUGAUCUGCCUGCGCUCACUUCAAAAUUGAGACAGCCAACACGGUCGGUGAUCCGAUAAUCAUUAGUCUCAACUUUGUCCUGGAACUCUAGGAGCAGCGACUCUUCCGUCGACUCUUUGAGAACUAUGACAUACUUCGUGCAAACGUCAGCAAUGACGCAUAUUAUUCUCACCUAUACUGAUUUAAGGUACCUCAGCAUGAGAAAGUCACAUUUCACACUCCGCCCGUGUUUAUUUGGUGAACAUUUCGGUAAUUCGAGAUGGACGAAGAUAUGAUCGUUGUUCCAUUUCAAAAUCGUCUGCAUGGCGAUGGUAUAUUUGUUACCGACGAAUAAUUGAAAUAAUCGUGAUACAUAUCGUUUACAUGACGCGUUAAUUAACAAACACAGUUGUAAUGCGCGAAAGUAAAAACGUCAUGAACAAAUAUGCCAAAAGUCCUGCAAUGAGUAAGAUUGAUAAUGGAGAAGUCAAGCACAACGAGUGUGAAAAUUAAUAUAAUUGGUGAAAAUAAAGAUGAUUGCAAACAUCGUUCGGCAAUCUUUACCUCCUACGCUCCUGGCAAAGAUGCAGCAGCGGUGGCAGCGGCAGGAGAAAAAGGAACGGUACCAUUGGUUGGGUGGAUGGCCGACCGGCCCCUGAAUAUGCAUUCGCGACUAGAGCGAGGCGUUGUCCCCUUCAGAAACCAAAUACCCUUCGCACCCCCGACGGACCACUCAAGGGUAUUGCCACUGUUUUCUAUUUCGACUCUCGUCGCCAGGGACUUGGCGUCGAGCAUUUCACUCUCGCCGACCACGGUCUUUGCGACUCUGUUCUUUCCACCUGCGUGCAGGAACACGACAAUUUUUUCUGCCAUCUUUUUUUAUAUUGGGAGGAUUCCUUAAAGGUUAACGAUAUGAACGACGCUCUCCCGGCGGGUCGGCAACUGAAAUUAUAUCUGGCGUACUUACUGCAUGUUAUGUGUAACUUCAGUUGCCUAUCUGCCAGCGAGCCAUCAUUCCCAUCGUUAACCCUCAAGGAAUCAUCCCGGUGUAAGAGCGGGUAAUUGCAAAAGCAAUUUACACGUGUUUACUUAAAUACGGCAAUAAAAAUUACUAGGAAAUGUCUUUGAGGGUUUUCAAUGUAGUCACUUGUAAGCCAUAUAUGUUUAAGAUACGGUUACCACUGGUUAUGAAAAACCGGGAAUUUAGAGACGGACUGUAAGGACUUGGAAAAAUCAUCUUUUAAUUAGUCAUGGAAUUUUUUGGCGGGGGAGACCGAGAGAGAUUAA